GAUGAACGCUGGCGGCGUGCCUAAUACAUGCAAGUCGAGCGAACAGACGAGGAGCUUGCUCCUCUGACGUUAGCGGCGGACGGGUGAGUAACACGUGGAUAACCUACCUAUAAGACUGGGAUAACUUCGGGAAACCGGAGCUAAUACCGGAUAAUAUAUUGAACCGCAUGGUUCAAUAGUGAAAGACGGUUUUGCUGUCACUUAUAGAUGGAUCCGCGCCGCAUUAGCUAGUUGGUAAGGUAACGGCUUACCAAGGCAACGAUGCGUAGCCGACCUGAGAGGUGAUCGGCCACACUGGAACUGAGACACGGUCCAGACUCCUACGGGAGGCAGCAGUAGGGAAUCUUCCGCAAUGGGCGAAAGCCUGACGGAGCAACGCCGCGUGAGUGAUGAAGGUCUUCGGAUCGUAAAACUCUGUUAUUAGGGAAGAACAAAUGUGUAAGUAACUAUGCACGUCUUGACGGUACCUAAUCAGAAAGCCACGGCUAACUACGUG
This 496-nucleotide ribosomal RNA is filed under the name uncultured bacterium. RNAcentral's name for it is "partial 16S ribosomal RNA". It matches the Rfam family "Bacterial small subunit ribosomal RNA", at positions 28 to 507 of the family's 1533-position model. The record is from RNAcentral.